This 86-nucleotide transfer RNA is filed under the name pig gut metagenome. It matches the Rfam family "tRNA". Rfam says of the family: Transfer RNA (tRNA) molecules are approximately 80 nucleotides in length. Their secondary structure includes four short double-helical elements and three loops (D, anti-codon, and T loops). The record is from RNAcentral. RNAcentral also lists the same sequence under 1 other name.
GAGAGAUGGCUGAGCUGGUCUAAGGCGCACGACUGGAAAUCGUGUGUGGCGGAAACGUCACCAAGGGUUCGAAUCCCUUUCUCUCC